ACCAACCGGUCCGUGCCAGCAUAUUUUUACAGUGCUGUGUUUGCAUAAGGAGACAUACGAAGUUUCCCUUUGUUGAACCAAGAACCAGGUGACUUCACCUCUUCUUUUUUUCCUUUCCAACAACCAGAUUGGGGGGUUGUGGCAUUAUGCAAUCUAAACUAGAAACUAUUAACACUAGGGUGGGGUUCCGAUAAGGGAAACAUUUAAAGAUCAGGCAAAACGAGGUUAUAUCAAUGCUAACAAGCUGCGGUGGAGCAGUGGUUAGAGCGCAGUACUGCAGGCUACAGUAGGCUGCCUGCAGUUUGGCAGUUUGAAUCUCACCAGGCUCCAGGUUGCCUCAGCCUUCCGUCCUUCCGAGAUUAUGAACAAAGAAGAAGAAGAAGAUGAAGAUGACGAGUGAGCUAUAGAGGACAGUAUUUAAGUUUUUCAUAUGUAGGCUGGGCUGACAGUCUAAGUUUCUUAAAAUAUAUAUAUAUUGUUUAGCCAAAUUAGUUAACAAACAUGGAUGUUUGUUUAAGCAAAUAACAUAUGCUGUAAUGUUAUUGUUUCAGUUGAAUAAAUCUAUUUAAAUUGUUA
Molecule: non-coding RNA, 576 nt
Organism: Pantherophis guttatus
Lineage: Eukaryota; Metazoa; Chordata; Lepidosauria; Squamata; Colubridae
Source: RefSeq, a predicted model, not a curated record